This 253-nucleotide ribosomal RNA is filed under the name uncultured bacterium. Its description in RNAcentral is "partial 16S ribosomal RNA". It matches the Rfam family "Bacterial small subunit ribosomal RNA", at positions 524 to 776 of the family's 1533-position model. The record is from RNAcentral.
UACGAAGGGUGCUAGCGUUGCUCGGAAUCACUGGGCGUAAAGCGCACGUAGGCGGAUCUUUAAGUCAGGGGUGAAAUCCCGAGGCUCAACCUCGGAACUGCCCUUGAUACUGGGGAUCUCGAGUCCGGAAGAGGUUGGUGGAACUCCGAGUGUAGAGGUGAAAUUCGUAGAUAUUCGGAAGAACACCAGUGGCGAAGGCGGCCAACUGGUCCGGCACUGACGCUGAGGUGCGAAAGCGUGGGGAGCAAACAGG